ACAGCGACAGGCUUGCUCCUUCCUGUCAGCACUGCGCUCCCUCUCUAGGUCAGGUGUAUAAUAGGUCAAGGUUGGGUGCCAGGAAUCAUGGCUGGGUGCACCAACCACUCACUGUCCCUAAAGAGGAACUGCUUUUCUUUUCAGCUGCAAAGCCCUGGCAGGCUGUGAAAGCCAGGCCACCGUGGACCGUCUCCAGGGAAGGAGCCAAAUUUUUACAGAGCCUCCAGCUGGCUUCCUGGCCACGAGGAAGGAUUCCCUCUGGCAAGGACACCAGCUUUCUCAACAUGAUGGCCAAAGGACAACAACAGGGAGGAGGAGAAGGUGCAGAGGUCAGCAAAGGCCUCAGUGGCAUGACCAGGAUCCAGGAGCAUCACGAGAACACAACAGAGCCCUGGCAGCUGGGAAGAGUGGAGACACACCACGCCGGUCCGCAACCUGGAUUCCGUCUCAGGGCCACUCUGGGAGGCCAGUCAAUUACAGUGAGGAAACUAAGCCUGCUGAGCCCGGGAAACUUCAGGCUGGUGUGCCAAUGAGCCAUGGAGGAGGUUUUGAACUCACCUUUGCAUCUUGUUCCUGAUGCCUUCCUGUCUCUGAGCUUGUCCAAAUCUUCACAGCAGACGGGUAGUAAAGGGAGGGUAAGGACAGAUGCCUUGGCUGUGGAGGGCUUAAGGCUGCUCUCCCAACACCCACUCCCAAAUGGCUUCACCACCCUCUCCCCAGACUCUACAACUGUGGGCAGACAUGUAGACCUGGGAAGAGAAGGUGUGUGGCUGUGCCUAGUGGAGUCCUGAGCGCCUAAGGAUUCUAAACACAGUCGCCUCCAUCUAGUCCCCUGUCGCCAUUUUCUCCUUUGUUCUCACCUCCAUUCUUAUCUUAGAAACAAGGAUAAGUUUCACAGUCUCCCUCCCCUCCCAGAACAGCUCACCAAGUGGGCCCCUCAUACACUGUGGGAGGGACACAAUGUUAAACACGUGACCCCUAGCAGUACACCCAGGAGAACCGAAAACUUUAAAUCCACAGAGAAACAAGAAGCUGGGUGUUCCAGCAACACUUUCCACCCAAGAGCAGACAGAGUGUCAUGCCAGUGCCGUCCAAGGGGAGACAGUCCCAGGAACUAAUGGAAGAGUGAACAGAGCCUGUGUAUCUGUGCACCAGAAUGUCAGCCAUACCCGAAAGAGAUGAAUCUGAAUGCCUUCUGCAACUCAAAGAACCUUCCAAGCACCUAAACUAUGCACGAGGCUCAUGCCAUAUAAUUCCAUGCAUACGAGACGUGAGAGCAGGUAACCACACAAGGGCAGAGAGUAGAGUUUGGGGCCUGGGGGAGGGAGGAUGAGGUGUAGCUGCUCAAGUAUGAAUGUCUGGGGGAUACAAAAACAUCCAGGAAUUAAUGGCCGUAAUCUUAGUGAUUAUUAAUUUGUGAAUUGAUUGGUGAUUUAUAAGUGCACAACUUUGAUAGGCAUGGUGGUUUGGAUAGGUAUGGCCCCCGUAGACUCAUCUGUUGAAUGGGUUGGCAUGGGGGGAGGGUAGCACUUUUCAGAGGGGUGUCGCUGUGGAGUCGAGCUUUGAGGUCUCCUAUGCUCGAGUGUGGUACGCAGUCUCCUUCUGCUGUCUGCGAAUCAAGAUGGAGGAUUUAGGCUCCUCAAGCAACAUGUCUGCCUGUAUGCUGCUGUGCUUCCAACCCCUGAAACUAAACCCCUGAGACUGUAAGCCCAAUUAAAGUUUUCCCUUAUAA
Long non-coding RNA from Rattus norvegicus (Norway rat), 1732 nucleotides. RefSeq lists it as uncharacterized. The record is from RefSeq and is a predicted model, not a curated record. Lineage: Eukaryota; Metazoa; Chordata; Mammalia; Rodentia; Muridae.